CCCCCUGUGUGCCGCUCACAGCCCGGCAGUCGGAGCUGCCGCAGAGCCCAGCACGGUUCUGGAGGGAAACGUGCGCCCUUCCCAGCCGUGUUUACUGCACGUUGUGGCAGCGCUGCAGGCUGUGGCUCAGCUCUGCACGUGUUCUCCUCUCUCCCCUCCUCUCACUCCUCUGGUAACUUCCGCAUCCAUCCCGAUCCUGCUUGGUGCUGGAAGGUGCUGGCUUGCAGUGCAGUCUUUGCUUUGCAAGCACUGUGCAGGGAGCAGCAGGAUGAGGAAACAGCCAUACGUACACACUGCGUUUCCCACGACUUGCUCUUCUUCCAAGCAGUGGUUCUGAGCCCUGGAAGUCAUCCUCUGACACGACAAGAAAAGCUGGCCUGGAGUCACUGUGAGCACGUAGGCUGUGUUGUCAUUGCGGGGCUGUGGCAGCUGCCAGUUGGAUUGGAAGCAUCGCGUGGCACUGCUGUGGGUGAGUACACGGCUGGUGUUGUGGGGAUGCCUGUGCUGCUCGUGUGUUUUACUCCUCAGGCGUGGGAGCUGUAGCAUCCGUGUACAUCCCCAAAGUGCCAGUGCUUUGGGACACCCGCCCUGCCACGCGGGGUCCUGUCUUUGCUGAUACUGUCACAGCAAGAGCUCAGUUGGUGUCCCACUGCAAUGCCGUGAGAUGGCAGCGCAGGA
This 678-nucleotide long non-coding RNA is filed under the name Gallus gallus (chicken). RNAcentral describes it as "lncRNA (ENSGALG00010022273.1)". Lineage: Eukaryota; Metazoa; Chordata; Aves; Galliformes; Phasianidae. The record is from RNAcentral.